Molecule: ribosomal RNA, 404 nt
Filed under: uncultured bacterium
Lineage: Bacteria
Description: bacterial SSU rRNA
Rfam family: Bacterial small subunit ribosomal RNA
Source: RNAcentral
UGAGGAAUAUUGCACAAUGGGCGAAAGCCUGAUGCAGCAACGCCGCGUGAGGGACGAAGGCCUUCGGGUCGUAAACCUCUUUUCUGGGGGACGAGUAAGGACGGUACCUCAGGAAUAAGUCUCGGCUAACUACGUGCCAGCAGCCGCGGUAAAACGUAGGAGGCGAGCGUUAUCCGGAUUUACUGGGCGUAAAGCGUACGCAGGUGGCUUCGUGAGUCGGACAUGAAAGCUCCCGGCUUAACUGGGAGAGGUUGUUCGAUACUGCGGGGCUUGAGGUUGGGAGAGGGACGUGGAAUUCCCGGUGUAGUGGUGGAAUGCGUAGAUAUCGGGAGGAACACCAGUGGCGCAAGCGGCGUCCUGGCCCACACCUGACGCUGAGGUACGAAAGCGUGGGUAGCAAACAG